UUAUGCAGUGUGUGUGUGUGUGUGUGUGUGUGUGUGUGUUGAAAAUGUUCGCAAGAUAUAUAAAUCUUUCAUUUAAAACCACAAAAUGGUGAGUAAUGUUGAGAAGGAAGAAGAAAGGAAGAUUAGGAGGAAGAAGAGGAGGAAUAGGAUUUAAAUGAAGGAAAAUAACAGGGACAAAGUUUUAAAUCAUAUUAUUCGCUAUUUCUUUCUUUAUUCAGUAUUUCCUUAUUCCUUUCUUUAUUUUCGUUUACUUCCUCCUCGUAUCCCUUUUCUGCCAGAGGAGGAAGGGGAAGAAAGGAGGAUGAGGGUGAGGAAGACGAGGAAGAGGAUUAAACUUCUUGCAUCUUUCUUACAGAAUCGUCAGGAUGUCAACAUUGUAUAAUGGUACAGUGUUGAGACAGGGACGGUCGCGUUAUAAUUCACUAAUUGAGGUUACUUUUGAUAAAUAAACAACUAGUACGGAGUCUUUUAAGUAUUUUACAUUAUCUUAUACCGGAAAAUAUUAAGGAAAAGUCGCGUAAAUAAGAAAAAAAAGGCAAAGAUUAGAGGGCCUAAUGAUGAUGAUUCCUGCUUUCAUCCUCAUCGGGGCUAACGAGACCAACCUGGGGCUGUACUCUGGACUGACGCUGUAUGCCAUAGCUGUUGAGUUUGCAUAGAUGGCCUUCUCAAGUAUGGAGGUCUUGCCACACUGUCGGGCCCCCGCCACCACCACACGACUGGUGCGCCCCAUCACAUUUCUCUGGGGACGGACCGGUAUGUCAACAAAGAGUGGCAAGCAAGACAAGAAUCUGGCAGAUAUUGUCAUGACCAAAACUCUUAAGUGUAUAAGUAUACUGGCAGAUGUCUUCAUGCAUAUUGUAGCUGCAAUGAUGUAAGCCUCGGGUGAUGUCUAAAAACUAUGUCUGCUGCUCCUCAUACUUCAGCCAAACAAGAUAUGCACAUGCUGCAGGAUAAAUGACCAUAAGUAACUCUGCAUCAACACAAGUACAUGGUGGAUGUGUCUGCUGGACUGUCAGUGACCAACAGCUGGCCUAGAGUGGAGGCUCAAGCAUCUCCACUUCUCCUCCACUGGAUAUCCUUCACAGUGAUCAUAGAGAACCAAAUCUUGUUCAUUACUGGAAUCAACACCAAUCACAAAGUUACUGUAGAUGUAGUGGUACCUCUACAUUGCAUUAGCAAUCACCAUGGAUUACUGCAAACAAUUAAAUGACAUCAAAUUAAA
Scylla paramamosain (green mud crab) is the source of this 1222-nucleotide long non-coding RNA. RefSeq lists it as uncharacterized. NCBI's taxonomy places the organism in Eukaryota, Metazoa, Arthropoda, Malacostraca, Decapoda, Portunidae. The record is from RefSeq and is a predicted model, not a curated record. The transcript has 3 exons.